This is a non-coding RNA of Meleagris gallopavo (turkey), 9199 nucleotides long. The record is from RefSeq and is a predicted model, not a curated record. NCBI's taxonomy places the organism in Eukaryota, Metazoa, Chordata, Aves, Galliformes, Phasianidae.
AUAUAUAUAGUUUCAAAAUCAGAGCUCUUUUAAUUAUUCUUUUUUCCAUGAGUAAACGGAUUAUGGAGAUCAGUGUGAUAACUUCAAAGUCUGUGGAAAAAAAAAUGCUUUUCUUAUCUCUGCUGGUAGUCACAAUUAUUGCAUAGAUUGAUCCAAUGCUUGUCAGAAACUUGUAAUAUUAAUGUCAUCUAAUUGAAGAUAAGACAUUACUGUAAUUAAACACUUAAUUUGUCAAGUGAAACCAAGUUGCCUUUAAGCAAAAUGUAACUAAACAACCAUCCUUGGGAGAUUUAUCAAGCUUCUAUUUCAUUAAAAUAUUGUAAGGAAGUAUCUGUCAUGUCUUUAGAUAAUGUCAGGCUGCAGAAGUAUAAGCAUUUCUAUACAGCCUGAGGUUGAAUAACUUCAUCGUAAUCUUCUGCUUGCUGUAUACUUGGUUGUUUUUUGUUUUGUUUUUUUUCUCCAGGUCUAAAGUAGUUGCCACUGCUAUUUGUAAUGCUUUCUGCUUGCAAACCAUGUUCUUGGUUGUGCACUUUGCACUAAAAUACUUUUACAGAAGUAUUAUGUGAAAAAUAUCUAAGCAUUUCCUAAUCUGUUACUGGAGUUUACAUUUUUCUACACUAAGAGCUGUGGGUGAAACUUGUAUAAAUACAGAUAAUGUACAUAUAAGACUUUAUAAAAUGUUUCAAGGGGAAGUUACUGGAAUAAGUUAUUAAAGAUGCUCAUAGAAAAGGGACUCCGGCUUAUCUAGGAGUUUGUAAUGUUAAUAGGUGAGGUUAUGGUAGAAAUGAGCUUGUUAUUUCAGCAGCACUGUAGUCCCAUUACUUGAGUGGCUGAUGGAAUAAUGAAACGUGUUUGAUAUCCUUGAAUUGGAAGUACUGAGUUUUAACACUUGCUUUUCAGGCAAAAAGAAUAAGGCUCAUGUGUGAGCCAGGAUGGUUCAUUUUAUUUGUAUAGGAGUAAAAUGUCUACAAAUGAUUGAGUCUUCUAAAUUUGAAGUUGUUAAACUUAUCUGAUGCAAAGCCCUAAAUCUAAGAUGAACAAACAGCUUGAGCUAAAAUAGGAAUAAGUGCCAGAAUGAUAUAUUUGUUGUAAAAACUGAAAACUUUUUUUUUAAACAUCCAGCGUUUAUUGCCCCCACCUGCCAUGAUUGAAGAGCCUGAAACUACUCAAACUCAAGAGUCUGAAGCAGAAGUUGAAGUGCAGGGUAUUCAGGAAGAUGCAGAAGAAGAAAAUAAGGUAGAAGAAGAAAUGGUAAAGGAAGAAUUGAAAGUGUCAGAAGUGGAUGGACAUAGAACAAUGCCAGAACACCCUGGAAGAGACAGUGAUAGUGAAGACAGUGAACCUGAGGAUGAGAAUGAAAAAUAAUCCAAGUGAUGUUUGUACUCUUACUUAUUCUGGAAAACAAAUGGGAAAAUGCAGUUAGAAAUAUGAUUGCUAUUUUUACAUUGACUUUUCUUAAAUGAUUCCGUGUGUGAUGUAACCUUUUUGUUCCUUAUUUUCACUGAAUCCUUUCUGGGAAAAAAGAUGAUUUGCAGUCGUUCUACUGAGUUCUUGUGAGUACCAGUAAUGUAACUUGUUUAUUCACCUCAAAUGAUAUAUAUAAGUUUUUUAGUAAAGAUACUUUUACACAAAUUUGGAAUUUUUUUCUUAAGCCUUUAAUUUCAGUUAAUGAGUUAGCUGUUAAACUUCCCUGAUUACCUAUAUUUAGUAUUGAUCAGACACUGUAGUUUCCUUAAUAUUUUGCAGUGGAGAAUUUUUUACAUGGAACGGUGUUUAUAUACACUGAGAUAUUGUAGAUUUUGGCUUGAGUUUAGUAAGCUAUUUAAUUGCAAGUUUGAGAAAUGGGAAUUACCAUGGCACUUUGAAAUUUUGAAAGAGUUUUAUUGAAUUGGAAGUUUAGCAAGCUCUCAGAAUGUCACAAGGUCCAGGUACUUGUAGCAACUGUUUCAUUGUUGACUGCCGCCGCUGUUACUACUUGAUUGUCCCUUACACAAGAAGUAAGGGUGCAACUUCUAAACGGCAUUAUUUUUUUAAAUUAGAAUCUUGAAAUAAGAUCUGUUUCAUUUUUAAGAGAACAACAGGAUAAAGCUCCAUCAGGAAAGUAAAUAAAAGGAGUUCCUUGAAUGCAGGAUUCACAAAACAUGUAAUAUCAAUAUUAGAGAUGUAAUGGGUGAGUAUGUUUUCUGGAGUGAUUUCUAAAUGUACAUCUUUCAUAAACUGAUCAGUGAAAGCUUUUUCCCUAGCUUAUUAAGACUAUCUGUCAACUGCAAAUUAUCCAGUGGUUCAGGAAGGUUUAUGAAUUCCCAAAUUUAAUUUUCAAGCAAAACAGUAGCUCUAGGAACAUCUUUACUGACAAAGAGAAAAUACUUGGUUUUCAAAUGUUGCAGUUCUGAAGUUGCCAGAAGAAUUUCUUCACUAAAUUGAUCAGAAAUUCAUUAGCUUGCAAGCUUUUAUUAUCACAUUUGAAGAUCUUUAUCACAGAAUUGCAGGGUUCAGAAGGGAUCUCAAGAUUGAGUCCAACUCCCCUGCUAAAGCAGGUACGCUACAAUAGGUUGCACAGACCCAGAGGGAUCUUGAAUAUUUUUUAACUUUUUAUUCACAAAAAAGAAAAACUAGUCUUUUGACUGAAACUGUGUUAUUUCAUUACUUGUUCUGAGUGGAAGAUAAUUCUUUGCCAUUGAAGGACAAACAGCAAUGUGUUUAAUGUUAGGAUGGUAAGGUUUAUGUGGUAACAUUCAUGUGUUCAAGCAGGGCAGAAUAGUACUGGGCCUUCAAGCAACAUACAACAAGCUCAAGCUGAUGUCUGCCAUCUCUGUUUUCCAAACCAUUUUUUACAAAUAUUUGAGCCAGGCAAUCAUUUAUUAUACUUCAGAAUUCUGGGAAAAGAAUUAGUAAGGGAUUCUUGAGGGUGUGGAGUGUUUUUUGUUUUUUGUUUUUUUUUGGCUAAAAUGGAUGGUUUAACUGACAGGGAUUCCAUCAAUAAAUACUACAGGGGAAAAGCAACCAAAUCUAGAAGAGACUAUGAAGAUUUAGAUUUGUAUAUGGCUUGCAGUGUAAUCUUUCUGUUCGUGUAUGAGCACAUCUAGCCUGUGUAAUACUGUGUACCAUGUGCAAGCCUAUGUAUCUGGUCCCUUCUGACUCAUGGGAUCCUCUUAAAACAGUUAAGUUACAGUCAUCAAAUGUGUUGCCCUAAAAUGGUGAGCGGUGUUGUAAUGGAGCUCGUUGCUGAUUAGCAUGAAAGCAGAAGCAACUGAAUCAAAAGCAAUUGCAAAAACAUUACAGCCUUAAUAUAUACUUUUCUGAAAGUCCAAGCAUUGCCUAUACUAAAGAUGGAAAGUUUUGCUGAAUUGACUUAAACUGAGCAGACUAUUCCAGCUGCUUUCCAUGUACUGAACUUUACACUUUUCACUGAUGUGAAAGUGUUUUCGAAUGUGGGAAGUCAUGUUUACCAUGUAGCAGUGGUUAGAAAGUUCUUUGUACUUGUGGAAUACAAGGUUAAGUGUGAUGGCUUUUUUUUUUUUUAAAUGUUGUGCAUUUAAUUUUUGGUAAAAGAUGAACAUUGUCUUUCACACCAAAAUACGUUUAGUUUUUGUUUUUUAUUGACUCUUACAAGAAAGAAUUAGUGGGAGAAGCUUAACAGCCUAAAAAGCCUAAAAGUUUGCUGCCAAGGGGGGGGGGAAACAAUGCAAGCUGGAGGUCUUAAUGAGCAGUUUACACUAUGAUGACAUACAUAAACUUCAUUAAAAAAAAAAAAAUUUUUUUUUCUCCUAGCCUGCUCCAAAUUUGCAUUAAUUCUGCUGUAUGUGUUGGAUAAGGUUCUAACUUUUUCCAAAAGGUAAAAAAAACGUCCUGCCACUUUACCUCCUUCUGAGAAAGGGUCUUUGCUGUUUCAUCAGACAUAAAAGGAUAUCAGUCUUCAAGGAAAGUAUCCCAAUGAGGACUAGAAAUUAAGAUUGUUGACGGAAUGACUUUGCUGACAGGAAGAGUCAUUUUAUUCUUUGAAAUCAGACAUUUAAAAACAAAAAAAUGCAGUUGAUGUUGCUCACUUUACUGGAUGAUCAAGACAUACAAUUCUAUUGAAAUAAGAAUUAGAUAACAUUUGGAAAGUCAUAAAGCAAGCUGACAAAAGUAAAUGUCCUAGCCAACGAGUGAAUCACAACCCACAGCAGUCAAGAAUCUGUGAAUGCCAUUAAGACAUAUGGCAGUGUAGUUCCCUCUGCCAAACAUGGUAGUCCUCCUUGCAGAAUCAAUACAAAAUUAAUGUGUUCAGGGGAGUUUUGGAGGCUGUUUAUGUGUUUCCUUUUACGUGGCUUUUCAGCGUAGUUUUCUUAGAGUAUUUUUUCUCAGGAUUUAUUGGUUAAGUACCUGACAAAAGAAAAUCUCUGUGCUGUAGUACUAAUAAACACAUUUUAAAAUAAAGCUAUUAAAAUUGUGAAUUUAAAAAUAACUUCCUUAAAUGAUUUCAGCUCACCAUCCUCUGUUAAGUCCGUGUAUUUGCCUAAUUUUAUGUAGAUUCUGAAAAGGUAUAAUUCUCAAUUCUGAGAAAUUGAAUUCUUCCUUGCCCAUAGAUGUAUCUACACAAUCAUUACCUAAAAUGGAUGCAAGAGGAAGAAUCAAUACCUGUAAUGCUACUUGCUCUCUGUAAGUAGUUGUUUCAGAAAACUAAAUACCACUAUUGGAAUGAGAAAAUGAUCUUUUCCUCCCUCCCCCAGUAGGUAACAAGGGCAGAUUAUUUCUCCAGGCCUUGCUCUGGAAGGGCUUUAAUCAGCUUAAUCUAGCCCGUAUCAAAGGUAAUGUAAUAUGGUGCUACUGAGAAAAACAGUUGCAUUUAAUUUAGCUUCCAUCAUGAUUUUCAUUCACCUUGAAAAGAGAAAAAUGACAAGGAUCUUUAAAUCAAGUAAUAACAUCUUUGUAAUGCAGAGAAGCCCAUUGCUUUACUGUUAAUGUCUGGAAAAAAAAGAUAAAGCAAAAUAAGAGUUACUUGAGCUAUGAGUAAGAAACUUUUCCAGAGUUCAGGCAUUAUCUCUUUGCUUGAAAAACAGUGUCAGAACAGAGUGUGUUUCUGUAUGCAUGUAUAAUUAACUUUUAGGAAAAUGUAGAUGUAAGUGAAAAGUUGAGCUGACUAUUGCCAAUUACGUAGUUCAUCUGUAAUGCCACUGAAAAAGUAUAUACAUACAUACAUAUAUACAUACAUAUAUAUAUAGCUACAGUGUAUGUUUGCCUAAUGAAACAUUAGAAUUUUGCAAUUCCAGAGAAUACCAUAAAAGAGUAAGCUAAUGAUUCAAAUAAGGGUCAGGAAUAUAUCAGUCUUGGCACUGUUUGUAAGAGAUAAAAAGAAGCCGCCUUUAUUGCAUUUAUCAACUGUGAAUUCCUAAAUUGCCACAGUCCAGUGUAAGAGAAGCCCUGCUACACAUCCAGAGACGCUUCAGCAUCCUGCUGUGCUAGUCUGACAUCUCUUGCAUGUCAAGAGCACUUAUUUUUAGAUGGGACAGUCAUUAGGGACAUAAUGUAUUGUAACUACUGUAGAGGAAGUAGUCUAGGGGCAGCAGAAGCAGAUUGAGAGAAGCUCAGUACAAAGACACUAAGAUUCUGUUUCUGACCUUAAUCCACAGCAGUACAGACUUGCCCUAUUUUUGGGAGUGAUUUUUGGCAGCAGCAAUCAUGUUCUAUUGGGAAAUACCAUGUUUUCUAAAAUGAGAAAUUCCAUGUUUUGCAUGCUGAGUCAGAGAGGGGAGAAAGCGCCUUACCAGUAAUCCUCUUUAGCUUGAGGGCACAUGUGAGAGCACUGAAACAAGACUUAGGGAAAAAGAAAGGCCCAAGUGUAGAAGAAUUGUCUUACUGUUUGUCACGGCUUGGGCUGGGAUAAGGUUAAUUUUCUCUCUAGAUGUUCAUAUGAAGCUGUGUUAAGGAUCUGUAAUGAAAAGAGUGGUGAUAACACAUCGGUGAUUUUAGUUGUUGGAAAGCAGUGCUUACACAGUCAAGGAUUUUUCUACAUCUGUUUUCAUAGUCUCUGUUUUUCAUCUCUCUUGAUCUCCAACGUACCAUGAAUAAAUGUUGUUCCUACAUACAUAGAUACUUCAGUGAUGGGGCUAUUGUUCUAGAUUCCUCCUUGCUUUUGUGGUGUUCACCCACCAGCUCUAUCAUUUUGAGCUCUGUAAUGAAAUGAGACACAAAGGACUGCUGCUGGUUCUGACUCAUUUUGGUUGGUUCUUGAUCCUAUGCACAGUCGCUUCCUGCAACAUCAAGCUGUAACACAUAUCCUUAUUAACUGGACAGAAGAACUUAGCAAAUGUAGAUUUAAAUGCUCCAGAUGAAUUCAGUGGAAUACACAUGAGAUCUUGUGUAUCAGCAAAUUUGCAGGUUUGCCCUGCAAAUUCAAAAUUCAAAUUUAAAACAAAACAAACAAACAAACAAACAAAAAAACCUCUAUUUGGAUUUGUUUUACUGUAUUUAGUAAUGAUGUCUUACAGUGUUCCAAGAUGAAUAUAAUGGAAUGAAAAGCCAAUGUAAGUUAUUGUUGAUGAUCUUGUACAAUGUUGGAGAAGGUUUAAGAGAGCAACCUGUCAGAAUUCCACCACAGUGAGUACUAGAGGAGAGCAUGUUCCAUCCAAACUCAUGAGGAACUGAGUCAAGAAUUUUCAUAUUAUUUUCCUAGGCCAUAGCUAGAAGUGCUCAGGUUACCUAUAUACAAACAUAACUUUAUCUGGGUAUGGGAUGUCUCAAAUGCUGAUUUCAGGGUCCAGUCUGUAGCUAUUUUGUCUAUUUCAAAAGAAUUGCAAGACAACAGGAUUCCAUGAGAUUACUGGAGGGACUCAAUGCUAAAAACACAGCAAGAAUCCUGGGAUCUCCAUUAGUGCAUUCAUUUGUUAUGGAUAUCCUUAGCCUUUCCCUCAACUGCUUUCAUCAAAUAACUUCCCUUAUGGCACCUGUCUCUCCCUUAGGCUGCCUUUCUCCAAUAAGAAGGUAGAGAACAAACUACUGCUCAUAACUUCUCAUACUCAUUCAAGAAAAAAGCUGGCUUUCUCAAGUCAGCCAGUUAAUUAUUAAGCAGGAAUCUUCCCUCUGCUCUUCAUCAUCUGACAUGAGUUCAUGAUCACAGCCUACUGGUCACUGGACCUUUUUCUUUCUACUCAGUAACUUUUAGCUCGCUGAGUGUCUCUGCUUUUUCUGCAAUCUGAUUGCAUUACAAGGAGUUGAGGGGAAAGACACAUGCCGAUACUGUAUGCCUGUGAAAGAUGUAAUGUGAAAAUCACUGUCCAUGUAAGUAGAAAUGUGUAUUAAGAUAAUCUGCCUAAACUGCCAAACUGCUGAUAACCUAGUUUGUUGCUGCCCAAUUCUGAAUUUAGGCCACAUACAUCUCCCAUGGAACCUGAUAGGAUUAGGUGGGAGCAAAGUCUCAAAAGCCUUCCCCCUCCUACCCCCCCCCCCAGGUCCAGCUCUAUGCUGGAUAGAUAAGAGCAGAUUAAGAAAAUGCAGUGCAUGAUGCAGCACCCUUUUCAAAUCAGUUAUCUUGGAGACAUAAACAACUAGAAUGAUUUUUUUGGUAACUCUGAGAAAAAUCUUGAAUAUGUUCAUAGUGUUUCUGUUAAAUUUUGUGGGCUAUCUAGAUACUAAAAUCUGUUCAGAAUAGGGAAGUCAUUCAAUAGAACAAUACAGACUGCAUUUUCCUUUUUUUUUUUUUUUGGCUUUAAGCCAGAUUUAGGACAGCUUGGAUACAUUAGCACCUGAGAUGCCUGCAGACAGUUUUAAUUAGCUGUUUACCUAGUUGGUUCAUGAAAGAUGAUAGGAGAUUGAGCACUAAUUCUCAAGAUCAUUUCAGUGACUACGUGCUCACAGUGAAGAUUUGCCUGUUAGUUUUCUACUGGGAGAGAAACAAAGCUUUACAACAAAAUUAAGCACUUGUGUAUCAAAGAUGAGAUUGAAGAUGUAAUACUAGUGUUUGGCUAUGUCCUGGGCAAUUUCUUUACUUGAAUUUGCUCUUCAGCUUAAGUUCAUUGGCUGUUUAAAGCUUCAGCUGGCUUACCUGCGGUGUUAAAACUGGGAACCACAGGGCACCGAUGCAGUUACAUUUUUAACCUUUUUCAGUUACAUUUCCAACGGUCACAGUGAUGCUGGCAGCAGGUGGUGCUGAAGGGAGCAGAGGUUAAGAGACCAAGCAGAAAAAGUGUACACAUUUCCAUCUUUGUGAGCAGAGGGUCUACACCAGUGAAUGCCUGGAAGAGAAAAUCUGAUCAUUUAAUGCACCAUAGUUAUGCUUUAAAGACUGCUGAAAAAAUGAACAAUGCAGAGACAAAGUGCUCUGACAGCUCACAACACUUCUCAGCCACUGCGGGAGAUAACUGUUAAUAAUCUUGUUGGAUAACAGGAUGUUUCCCAGGAAAUGUACGUGACCUGGUUUUUGAUACGUUACACUUCUGUUAAAUGUUUCAGAUGAUGAACUGCAAUUGCAUAGUAUGGGGAUCCUUUUGGCUCAUUGUGCUGCUGUUUCUUGGCUGGCCCAUAAGCAUAGCCUUGUGUGCCCUCCAUGGAUUCCUUUCUCCUCUUGCUACUUUAAUAGGACUGGAUGAAUUAAGUGAAGUACUACUGAAGGGUGCAUGUCUGGGGAGACAGUGUGCUCAGAAUGUGCGUAAUGGCAAGCCCCUCUGUUAAGCAUUGAAGACAGUCCUGCGUAAAACAAGCAUUCAGCUGUAUGCUACAAGAUUUCAAAAUUUACUCUGUGAAUCAUACAUUUUUUUCCAGUUCUAAAUAAUUUAUUAUUUUUAAAAAAGUUUUUCAGUAUGUAUAUUUCUCUUCUGGAUGUCUGGAAACUUUAGCAAUUCAGAAGUUUGUCACUGAGAAUUUACAAUACAAGUUGCAGCUGUUGUUUUGAAGAUGGGUAAUGACACUGUACAUGGAGAAGGUAGCUAAGUAUGUGAAUAUGUGAAUAUUUGUGAACAUUUUAUUCUACAGUGCACAUUAUUUGAUAGUAAGAGAAGUGAAAUUCUGAUGUCUUUAUAGCAUGUAUCUUUUCCUUUUUACAUUUCUGUUCUUUCUUACUAUCUUUCCUUUAAACAAGACCUUAGUGAUCUUUUGUUCUAUGACCUCACUUUGUAUUAAUCUCCAGUGAACAGCAGUUUUUCAGUGGAACAACUUUGCUGAUAUGGGUUCACUGCAUUGAUUUUCAAGUACAUUAGAUAAAUAAAGAACUUCUGUAAACACA